GUGCCAGCCGCCGCGGUAAUACCGGCAGCUCGAGUGAUGUCCAAUAUUAUUGGGCCUAAAGCGUCCGUAGCUGGCCGCGCAAGUCCGUCGGGAAAUCCACCUGCCCAACAGGUGGGCGUCCGGUAGAAACUGGCCGGCUUGGAACCGGAAGGCUCAGAGAGUACGUCCGGGGUAGGAGUGAAAUCCUGUAAUCCUGGACGGACCGCCGGUGGCGAAAGCGCCUCGGGAAGACGGAUCCGACAGUGAGGGACGAAAGCCAGGGUCUCCAACCGGAUUAGAUACCCUUGUAGUCC
Molecule: ribosomal RNA, 293 nt
Filed under: uncultured bacterium
Lineage: Bacteria
Description: partial 16S ribosomal RNA
Rfam family: Archaeal small subunit ribosomal RNA
Source: RNAcentral